CUCACCACCGCGCUGGAUUCAGGAAGCCGCAGAGCUCCGUAGCAUUGACGGAUACCACAGCCAAGCAGGAUCAAGAGAAGCUACGCGACAUUAGUUGUUGGAGCCGACGGACAUCCCACGUCAGCAUGUGCGGGUAAUCCAACGAGGUGAGUUCCUCUACCACCAAAUCUGGUGUAUGGCCCCGAUUCAUCUCCGAUCUAUGAAGGGAGGAGUGUGGUGUGGUGGAUCCGAGCUCUUGACGGCUCCAUCUCGCCCCAUGGGCUAGAAGAGUCCAAGCACAUGAAGACCAACAGCUUCGUUGUUUCCACAAGAUCUACUAGCUCCACGGUCAUCAUGUUGGAGCGUUCCUGCUUCCACCAAAUCUGUGAGUUCUCCAUCAUGUGGAAGUAGAGAUCGGAGUGGAGACAGCGACCAGCUAGGAUGGCUCGCGGAUCUCUGCCAUCUAGCAGCAGCCGUGAGCGCUCCGACGCACGCUGGAGUGGCACACUCUGUAGGCAACAGCAUGCUGCAACGGGUUCAUCCCACUCAUCAGGUACUAUGAAUGAGUUUGGUUUGGGGAUUUGUCUAUCUGCAAACAGACUCUCUAAUUUUUUUAUCUGUUUCUUAGUUGAUUUAGGUAACAGUGGGAGCAAGUGAAUGCGGUGGGGAAAGGGGAAGGUUAGAGAAGUGGGAAAUUUCAUGAUAAUUUCUAAAUUAAAAUUAGUAGAUGACGAGUGGUACAAUAUAAUGUUGAAAUGUUACUCCUUGAGAUACAGAUAGUCAUUACUCUCGUAUUUGUAUUACUAACAUCUUUGCCCAUGUUUAGUUAUGACUUAGUGAUGCAGUUAUGCAAUUCUGCAAUCAGUUUGCAAUUCCACAAUCAGUUAUAUAUAAUGUAUCCUAUACCCAUUGUUCUGUUAGGCUCUGUUUUGACACUGACGAUACACUUGAUCCUGGAGGAUUUGUAUUCUGAUCUGAUUUACUUGCAAACAAGUGUAUGCAACCAACUUUGAUUUUUGAUUUAUCAAGUCCUUCGCCGGUUCUGCCGAUGUCAUGUAACUUGUGAAAUGAUUGUUUUUGCAUUGCAGUGCAUUAUGCUUCUGUGGCACUCCAGGAAGGGAUGUUUCUUUCAAGAUAUACUUCAUUAUCUUAAAGAAUGUAAUGAUCGAUAUAUUCCAGGAGUGUUGACACCAGUUUAAGUAUGUCACUUGAUGUGUGAACUUCCAUCAAAUUCAGGUAAUAAAGUACAUCUAAGUUAUGCGGACAUAUUUUUUUCUGACAUAUUUGCUUUCUGGCAUUCACAGUUUUUAUCUGCUUGCAAUGCUACUGCAAAAGUUGUCAAGAUUUCAUAGCUACACAACUUCUCAUAUGCACAUGUUUCAUAGGUACACAGAUACUUCUCUUGGCAUGUUUACUUCAACAAUAAGUUAACAUAACACCUCUAUAGAUAUUCUUUUGUUCGCAUUAUGUUGAAAAAACAAUUUUAUCUGUAGUUUUGAUCCCCCUAAUAAGUAGGUUGAUCUAGUUUGUGUUUGUACUUUGUAGCGCACCUAUAGCGCUAUAUCUGCAGAUUUGAAAGCCCUAGUUUGGUUUUGGAUAAUUGAUGAAACCUAUGUGUACUAACCUUUGUCAUGAGUGAAAUACAAAGAUAGGUUGGUACACACCAAGUGAUGGAGCUAGAUGAUGGUCAUGGUGAUGGAGAUGACCAAAUUAUGAUAUUCAAGUGCUCCAACUUUGAAAAGAAGAAAGAGAAAACAAAAUGGGCUCAAGGCAAAGGUAUUUUUAAUAGGGCCAUUUUGUUUUGCCACUCAAGACACCUAGAGGGUGUGAGUGGAUUUAGGAUAGAUAACCAUACUAUAAAGAGGGGAAAUCUUUAAUUGCAAUGGUUAUCUAGUGCCACUAAGUGUGAGUCUCUUUUGCAUAUGCAUUGCGCUUAGUGACGUGGUGAGAAUACUUGAGAAAGCCCUAAAAAUCAUUUGUGAAAAUGCUAACUUAAGUGCUCAAUUGUUUUUGGUACUUGGUGGGAAAGUUAGCACUUUAAAAAGGGGUUUUGAGUUGAAAAACCGAGCUAGUAGUCAUGCCCAAACAGCAAGGGGUCGAUCGGAGUUAUUCUCUACCCUACCUGGAUAUUCUGGUAUUUGUGCUUGCAACAGAGAGGGGUCGGUUGGAAUUUUAGCUGCCCCGCACUGGAAAUUUUUCAAAACUGGAGUUCACCCACGCCAACGGUCAAAAGCGUGUGCGUCUGGAAUUAUUUCCUACCCGCACUGGAAUUUCUCGCGAGAUUGGGCUGCUGCAACGGUCGGAUGAGUGGCUGGCAGAGGAUAAGGUCGGGUUUCACCCCUUCCUUUCUUCCUCCUCAAUCCAUUCCCCAUUCUUGCUCUCUUGAAGAACUCCAAGAAAAGAAAAGCUCUCCUCUUCUCCUCUCUCACUCCCAAGGAUUUGUGCUCCAUUCAAGUGAGAGAGAAAGCUCUAGAGAUCGAUUUGAGAGCUCCAAGAGGAUCUCCUCCCUUCCUCUCCAUUCCCAUGGUUGGUACUCUUUGGUGAGAGGAGUUGGGAAACCCUAGUGUUUAUGCAUUUGUGAUUCAUAUUUGUGGCACUAGUUGAUUGUUGGGAUUGUGGAUUUCUUGUUACUCUUGGUGAUUGCCGUCACCUAGACGGUUGGUGUUGGAUUGAUUGGUGAGGGGAUUUGGUGAUUGUGUCCGCCCCCAAUCAAGGUGAUAUUUGUGAGGGGUUGUUGUGGUUCCCCAUCGGAGUGCUAAAUUCCAACUCUAGUGGAUUGCUCGUGUCAUUGAGUUACCGCACUUGAGAGUGGGGUCUUGCGGUUUCCUUGCGAGGGUGGCUUGCAAGUCACACCGAAGAACCAUCUAGGUGUUGGUCGACACAACGGGGACUAGCUUACCGGCAAGUAAGUGAACCUCGGGAGAAAAAUAUUUGUGUCAUCUCUUGUUUCCCGGUGAAUUGGAUUGUUUGAUACAUAUAUUGUUGGAAUUAAUUAUUUGGUGAUUGGCAACAUCCUCUACUCUUCACCGUCGGUAUAAAAGUCAAAUUCCCUUCUCUUUCAUACUUGCAAUUUAUCUUGUUAGCUCUCUAAUUAGUUAGAGUAGAGACCUAGCCGUUUGAGUGCAUAGAGAUUAUAAUUACUAGAAUUGCAAUAGGUGGCUUGCCUAACAAUUAGAGCUAAAGCAAACCGCUUUUAUAGCCAUUUGUGUUACUAACAAUUUGCUCUAGUGUUUUAUAGAUUUUUUAAUAGGCUAUUCAACCCCCCUCUAGCCAUCUAGGACCUUACAAGAUUGCAAUAUGACUAUUUACUGCUAAUGUUAAGAUGUAAUCAAAUUUGCAAGGCAAAGCUUAAUAUAUUAAUCAUUGCCUGAUUUUAAUUUUUUUUUCUUCUUUAGUUGUGUUGUUCACUGCACAUUGAAAUAUUUACUUAUUUUCCUUUGCUACCAAAGACGCGUAAGCAGAUCAUGUAGGUAUAGGAUCAUGAAAUAUUUAUUUACUUGGUAAGUGAUGCUUUUGAGAAAAUACUUAAUCACCAAAAGAGACAAGAGCAACCAAAUGACAUAUUAACUAUUUAGAGUUAGGAUCCAGAUGUGUCGAUAGUCCAUAACUUUAUUGCCUUAUCAUAAUCUAUGCACAUCAUACCUUGUGCCGUUUUUCCAUUUACCGACAUGUUCAUCAUACCUAUAAUCACCUAAAGAGGAAGGCUACAUCCUUUUGCCUCUAUUGGUUGCCCCUAGCUGUUUAUGUGUGUUUGCUCACCUGCUGAUCUACGUCUGAUGUUCAGCACCAAAGGAACUUAGCACUAUGAUGAUCGACUCUCUGUCUUUUGCAAACCUCAUGGCGACAAACUGUGUAGUUCUCCGUUCUAAGUUACCAGCUGAAGUGUUCGGUUCUUAUGAAUUCCCGGUCAUAUAUUGUAAUCACUACCGGAUAGCAGGGGUUUGCCAUGUGCCUGGCGCACACGGCAAAGUCCAAAUUACACACGGCAAAGGCUUUGCCGUGUGUUGCUCACGGCAAAGAACACACGACAAACUCUUUCACGGUGAACCUUAUUUUUACCCACGGCCAAAUUUUGGGCACACGGUGAAACUUUGCCGGCGGGAGACGGCCUAACGGCAGGGUCACACGGCAAAGUCUCAAUGUUUGUCGUGUGCUAGGGUUGGGCACAACGGCAAACCCCAACGAAAAAAAUCCAAAGUCCUAAAUUUUUUUGUGGCCCAUGGGAUUUGAACCCAUGACCUCCCUCUCGCGCUUCUUCGCUCUUAGCCACUACACCACGCACCACACUAUGUCUUGUGUUUAUAUUACAUUUCGGUUACUCAAAUAUUAUAUCAAAUUAUGUGUAAAUUGAUAAUUUGAGAUCUUAAAUGAUUUCAAAUCAAAAAGUUGUCAACUACAAAGUUUCAUAACUUUUUGGGAUCUACAAUUUUCAUUUAGGGAGUUUCUCCAUCCGAGGUCGUUUACAAAAUUUGAAUUUUAAAUUUAAGAAAUCCAAACGUUUUUGCAUGACAAGAUGAUUCCAAAAUAAAAAGUUGUCAACUACAAAGUUUCAUAACUUUUUGAGAUCUACAAAGUUUAUUUAGAGAGUUUUUCCAUCCGAGGUUAUUUAAAAAAUUGAAAUUUUAAAAUUUUCAAUUAAAAUGCUGAAAAUAAUUAAGAAAUAGUAAACAAUUCCGAAAAUUUUCUAAACUUGGACACGACACAACCUAUAUGGUGUAGUGCCUAUAGAAACAGUUUUAAAAUCAAACUCAAAUAUAAAAGUCAAAUCUACUCCAACUCAGGCUUCUUCACUCAUAUCUGUGUGAAACUUCUUCGAAGGUUGUCUGGUUUCUAUACAUCAUACAUGACAACUUGUUCGAAAUCUUUCUAAACUUUUUUUAUGGCCUCUAUGUAUGAUAACAUGACAUAUGUAUAAGUUUUAGGAUUUACGGAAUAAAAUAGCAUUUAUUAGAAUUUUCGAAAUGUACCGACGCACAUUCUGCGUCGUGUCUCCUAAGCACGGCAUUCAAAAGUCAUUUCCGUUUCGAAUGUGUGUUAUCAGACAGGGUUGGGUAACAUGAAUAUCAUUUUUUCGAUAUUUUUUUCAACUAUUUCACUGACUCGUAGUUCAAAUUUGAACGUAACUGGAAAAAUGAAAAUAAAUAAUGUUAAUUGCAAAAAUAUAGCAAACAUGUUUCAAAUUUUAUGAAAUUUGAGUAUGGAGUUACAAAUGGUGAAUGUGUAGAGAAGAAAAAAUUUGGAGGACAAAAACUAAAAAAAGAUAAAUUGUUUGUCAUGUGUCGCACCCCUGACACGACAAAGUUUGUGUUUGCCGUGUGCCAGCCUCAAACACACGGCAAACCCAGGUUUUGCCGUGUGCCUAACGGCCACACACGGCAAAUGUUGACGUCUGGAGGUGGGCGUUAGCGUGGGUUAGUUUUUGCCGUGUGCUCUGUUUUUCCCGUGUGUUGCUCACGGCAAAAGUUUGAGUUCGCCGUGUGCCUGGUGUUUGCCGUGUGCAACACACGGCAAAGGACAGAUAUACCGUGUGUCUGGCGUUUGCCGUGUGCGUGGAUUAGACACACGGCAAACUCGACCUUUGCCGUGUGUUGCUCACGGCAAACGGGCUGACACACUACAAAGGCCGGCUCUCCGGUAGUGAAUGAACAGUUAUGUAAUAUAUAGUUCAAUAGAAUCAUUAAUGUAAUGAAGGGUGUGUAACAUAUAGCUGAACAGAACUAUGAGAGCUACAAUGGACAUAAAAACCAUAUCGUUGCUUCAUUGGUCUUAGGUACUGACUAUUGUGAUGAUGGCAAUUACUAUUUAUUAAUGUAUGUGACUGACAUCUUUUCUUUACCAUAUCUAAUUAUGGAGACAUGUCUAUGGAGCAUAGACUAGCUUUUGUUCUUCAAAUCGUGGUAGGGCGCCUGAUGUUCUAGUUACUAUGAAGCUUUCAGGCCUAAGUGUAGCAGUCAAGGCAGAUGCUUUUCACAUGCUGUCAGGGGUGUGGAAGACCCCUAUCGAGAGGUGUUUUAUGUGGUUAGGUGGAUUUUGACCGUCACAAGGUUUAUGGUCUCUCCUCACUUGUUCUUAUUGCGUCGUUGUGCUUCUGUCAAAGCUGAUUUCCUUGUUCAUCAUAGCAUAAAUCUCAUGCAUAUAAAUAUUAGACAGGUGAAUAAUAUUUUCGAAGGGCUUCCAAUUUAAGCUUGAAGUCCACCUGAACCACCUCAUGCAUAUCAAUUAAGCAUAUUUUUGCUGGAUUUGGCUCCUGUUGGUAGAUUGAUUUUUUAUGAUAUAUAUCAAUCAAUUUUCUCUAAUAAUGACAUCAAUUAAAUUAUUGGAUUACCCGAGUGUGUGAUUGGAUAACUCGAGUGUUUUAAGGCCUUGUUCAGUUGGCAAAAUUUUUAGAUUUUGGGUACUAUAGCAAUUUCGUUUUUAUUUGACAAAUAUUGUCCAAUCAUGGACUAAAUAGAUUUAAAGGAUUCGUCUCUCAAAUUAAAGGUAAAGUGUGUAAUUAGUUUUUGUUUUCGUCUAAAUUUAAUACCCAAUGCAUGUGCCGCAAGAUUCGAUGGACUAAAUAGACUUAAAGGAUUCGUCUCUCAAAUAGCAUCUUGGAAUUUUCUUUUCUACAAUUAUUAAACAAAUUCUAGCAUACGCUAGACAUAUUUGACCUUUUAUCUGGUUAAUUUUGGGUGUUGUUGGCAGUUUCGUAUGUACAUGCCUGUAUAUGUAAUUGAAUAAUAUUAUAACAUUGCAGGGAUGUUGAGGAAGCUAUAGCAUGCUCGAGUCUGACAGCUCGUGAGUUUUCUUUCUUUCUUUUUUUUUGUUGUGUGAUUUGUAUUAUCAAAUAUUACUGUAGUUACCACAGGCAUUGGGUAAAUCAUUUUUUGGUUGUAUGAUUUGCAUUACCAAAUGUCAUUAUAGCGCUAGCACGGACAUUAUACUAGUCAACCUAAGGUGAAACAACAAUCAGACCCAUAAAACAAAAGCAUUCAACCUAAACACAAAUUUGCCUAAGGCACAUCACAGAUUGGACGAGGCAAAUUCGAGAGAAAACACAAACUAAAAUAGCCAAGUGAUGCAAAGAAGCUCAGAACUCGUUGAGAAAUGAAAAUAAAUAGCGUGGAAGAAGGAGUUCUGCUCGUAUUUUUAGUUCCGUGUGUAAUACACGACUAUCUACUUGGGCUAAUUUCAUUGUUGCCCUGGCCCAUCUGAGCAGAUGCAUUCUCUCCUUUUCUUUUCUAUAGUGGAACUGAAAGCUCUACUACUCAUCGUCUCAUGGCCUCAUUGGGCUGAAGCUGCAUCCCUAGCCUUUCGAUACUCAUGGGCUGAAGCUACACCGAGGUUUUGACACAUCGGAACAGCCUUAUUCGUGAUGCAAGGAGACGUGCUAAGGUAAAGUUAAAUUGUUUUUGAGGACACGUGCUCCCACUUAUUUCAUGUUAGAUUCGUAUUGAGAAAUAUAUAUAUGAAUCGAGGUGUGUUUCUCAAUGCGAAUUUAAUGGUAGAGGCAACGAGAACUCUUAAUAGAAAAAAAAUUGCCUAUGAUAACUCUGUUACAAUGUUAACGGCAGUAUUUUGACAUCGUUAAAAAUUUCCAAUAAACACCAGCAUAGAAAAUCAUUUUUCGAGGAGCCUCAUUUUUAAAAGUAGAGGUAGCUCUACUAAAAUUCGUCUCUAAGAGUAGUUUACGCAGGUUCACUUCUAGAAAUCACUAAAACAUAUAUAAGUAAUCCGCCUACGUGAUAAGUUAUUUGCACGAUGACAAGCCAAAAUGUUGGGCCCAUAUGCCGAUCUUAUACCCCCUUAUCACCACAUGGGCCUAAAAUAUCGGUGCCAUCAUCAUGCAAACAGCAUGCUAUGUAAGUAGAUUAACUAAGUUAGGACAGUUUCGAUGGUCAAAAUUAUGCAUGAUUUUCAUAAAGCCACGUCAACAUUGAUACUGCCAUUAUGGUGCUUUAGGCCUUGUUUAGUUCACCGCAAAAACCAAAAACUUUUCAAGAUUCCCCGUCACAUCGAAUCUUGCGGCACAUGCAUGAAGCACUAAAUAUAGACGAAAAUAAAAACUAAUUGUACAGUUUACCUGUAAAUCGCGAGAUGAAUCUUUUAAGCCUAGUUACUCCAUGAUUGGACAAUGUUUGGCAAAUAAAAAUGAAAGUGCUACAGUCCCGAAAACCAAAAAGUUUUCAGAACUAAACAAGGCCUUAGACCUAAUGUGAUACUUUGAUCACUCAUCUUAUUCAAAAAAAAUUAUACAAAUAUAGCCAAAUUUAAAGUUAUUCUUGCAGAGGUUUUAUUAAUAAACCAAGCCACGAUAAAAUAAGCGGUAUUUAUAAGACCAGUCGUCAAAUUUGGUGUUAAAAAGGUUAAAUAUCUUAUAAUUUAGGAUAGAUUGAGGUGUUUUUUAAAAACACCUUUGCAGUGUGUAUGUAGAAAACAUCAAAAUGAAGAUACUGAUGUCCAUUACUUUUAUCACACCUCUUGAGAUAUUGGGAACUGGUUCAUGCGAUGCUUCCUCUCUAUCUCUCUCUCUCCCUCCCCGAUGCCCGACGUCAUCCUCUGUCUCUCUCCCUCCCUGAUGCCUGACGUCCUCCCGACGAUGAUGUAGGCCCUCCUAAAAUCAUGCGCAGAUGCGUCGAAAACACCACUCUCUUGCUCUCGCCAUCGCCACUUAGAUAAAGGUGACUUUUUUAAAUAUAUUUCGGUGCAGAAGGCAAAACACACACCACGGAGGCUAUGAACUUUGCUUCUGCUCGAUUGCACGGUUUGACGCACACUAAAGGUGCUUGAAUAAUAGGGUUCUGUCCUUUCUCCUUUUUAAAACAAGAAAUGCUAAACAACACCCAUGUGUUUUUUAUACAUUCCAACACAUGAAUUUUUCCGUGUCUAUGAUUUUAGGGCCCACACCUAAUUCCUCCCUCACCCUCUUACUCUUCCUCCCCUCCCUUUCUCUCAAUGCCCACCACCGCCACACCUGAGUGCCAUCGCGCUUGCAUGCCGGCGUGCCUGCGCCUCCCUUAGCGCAGUCCCUGACGGCGUCCAACAACAGUGCCUUCGUGCCUGCGCCGGCGCCGGCCACGGCGGCUGUGCCGCUAAUCUCCUCCUUCUUAUCUAUGAUAUGUGAUUGUGCUUGCAUAGAAAACUUUUGUAAUUUGUCCUUUCAUAGACAAAAUUAUUUCUUGUGAUAUGUGGUUGUGCUUCCACAAAAAAAUUAUGAUAUAUUUUUCCAUAGAAAAAAUUGUUUCUUGUGAUAUGUAAUAUGUGAUCCGUGGCUGAAGGAAGAAGAAGGCUUGAGGCUGUUGGAUCUUCAUCUUAUGGCUAACAAAAUUUUGUGUAUUGGAAUGCUAAAAAAACGCAUGGUUGUUAGGUAGACACUUUUAAAACACUCCUGCCUAAUGCUUAGUCCAUCUCUCAGUUAAAUAACUUUAAGACAAAUAAUGGGGGCCAUAGACAAUGGACUUUGCACCAGCCAUAUACGAGAGUAGUAAAACAGGGACGCCGGCCACCAAACCAUGUCGCGCGGUGGAUGAUGGAGACUGGCCAGGACAAAAUAAAAUGGCCACCGCCUGCCGCCUGCCGGCCGUUCGCAACCGCCGACGCCGCCGCCGUUGCUAUAUCCGUCACUAGCCAGUUAGCCACCAACUCGACUGGUCGUCGGUGCAAGUCCAGGCAUCCACCACCAACCUACCAUGGACGCCAAGCCGCAGAACCUGGGCGGCUCGCUGCCGGUGCCCAACGUGCAAGACCUGGCCGCGCGCCCCGCCGACGAGCUCACGCCGCCCGUGCUGCACCGCUACAUCCGCGACGACGCCGACGUCGACGCCGACGCCAACGGCGACGCGGCCGCCUCGGUGCCCGUGGUGGACCUCGCGAGGCUCCUGGACCCGUCGCACGGGGAGCAGGAGGCCGCCAAGCUGAAGGCCGCCUGCGAGGACUGGGGCUUCUUCCAGGUGGUCAACCACGGGGUCCCCGACGCGGUGAUCGCCGACGUCAAGGCGGACCUGCAGGGCUUCUUCGGCCUCCCGCUACCCGAGAAGAACGCGGUGGCGCAGGAGCCCGGCGGGAUCGAGGGGUACGGGCAGGCCUUCGUCGUCGCCGCCGACCAGAAGCUGGACUGGGCCGACAUGCUCUUCCUCUUCACGCAGCCGCCCGAGUACCGGGCCUCGCGCUUCUGGCCGGCGCGCCCCGCCACGUUCGGGGACUCGCUGGACCGCUACUCCGUCGAGGUGCAGCGCGUCGCCGCCGGCCUGCUGGCGGCCAUGGCCGCCAACCUGGGCGUGGCGGAGGCGGACGCCCGGAAGCUGACGAGGCUCGCCGGCGCACAGUCCGUGCGGAUCAACUACUACCCGCCGUGCCCGGACGGCAGGGUGCUCGGCCUGUCGCCGCACUCCGACGCCGUCGGUCUCACGCUCCUGCUCCAGGUCAGCGCCGCCGUCCCGGGGCUGCAGAUCAGGCGGCGCGGCGCGUGGGUCAGCGUGGACCCCGUCCCGGGGGCGCUGGUGGCCAACGUCGGCGACGUCGUCGAGGUGCUCACCAACGGGAGGUACAAGAGCAUCGAGCACCGGGCGGUGGUCAGCGCCACCCAUCACCGGGUGUCCAUCGCCGCCUUCCACUCCGCCAAGUUCGGCGGCACGUACGCGCCGCUGGAGGAGACGACGAUGGUACACGGCGAGCCGGCGAGGUACAAAACCAUAAGCGUCGAGGACUACGUCCGGCUGCUGCUGUCUUGUAAGCUUGAGGGAAAGAACAUCAUGGACGCCAUGAAGAUCAAUCCCCCUGAACUGCAGUGACAACAUGAAUUUCUCAAAUUUCAAACAAUGGAGCCUGCUGCAAUAUAUAUACAUGCAGAUUUGUGUUCUUGUCGUCGUCUCUGCUUGUUGUUUCGUAUCAUCUAGAUCUGUGCAAGACAGGAUUGCUCUAAGCAUCUUGGUCAAGUAAACCAUGAAUGUACAUGUUCCGAUUUGAAGGGACUCGUUCUUUCAGUUUAUUCAUAAUAUGCAAAUCCUAGUCCUUGGGCCUGAAGCAAGUAUGGGCCGAAUAGCAGGCCCAUCAGGCAGUUAUUACAAGAUAUUUGUGUCCGAUAUAUUUUAUUUGUGCUGUUCCGUUCUCCUCCGGGCCUGUAUAGUUCCAAAAAUUUUACAAAGUUUUUAAAACUUUUCAUUACAUCAAAACUUGUAGUACAUGCAUGGAGAAUUAAAUAUAGAUAAAAAGAUAACUAAUUGCAUAUUUUAGCUCUAAUUUGUGAGACGAAUCUUUGGAGUCUAUUUAGUCUAUAAAUUAUUACUAGCAAAUAUGCCCGUGCGUUGCAACGGGAGAAAAACAUCAAAUGGUCAUAAAAAGUGACAUAUCUAUUUAUAUUUAUAAUUUUUAUAAAAUUUAAAGUCCAUAAUUUAUUUUAUUGAUAACCAUGACAUCUAUGGUAUGAGAUAGUUAAUAUUUACAAUAUUAUGUAGCUUGGAGACAUAUUUAUUUAAUAAUAAAAAUAGAUUAUAUUAAAACAUGAGAAGUUUGUUGCUAGCUUUAUUUUUUUAUUUAGAUUAGGAUUCCUAUAAAAUAUGAUAUAUCAGCUAAAUAUAUGUAGAUUAUAAACAUAUAGGCUUAUGAAGUGUUCAUAUGAUAUAACAACACAUCGUGCAAAGGUAGUGGAAGCAUCUUUUUUAUAUUUUUUACACACUUAAAUUGAUGCUAAACUAUUUAGCUAGCAUAAAUUUGGGUAAAUUAGUAAAUCAGUAAGAUAUGCAGGAAUAGUGCUAAAACUUUUACCACAAAUCAAGCAUCACAUUAAAUAGGCUUCCAUAAAAUUUUUAUAAUAAUUAGAGCAAAAUAACUAUAAUUUCAAUUUUACCCUAAAAAGCAUAGGCAAGCAUCUCCAGCAAAAAAAUAUACUAAAAUUUAUGAUAUUUUUUGUUUACUACAUGGAUCUACAUAUGUGGAGCUGAACACAUUUUGUUUUGUAAUUUUUAGAUUUUUCUAUAAAUUUCUACGCAUUUAUUAAUUUUCAGCCGAUAUAAAGAAUAAAAGAAAAGUAAAUUAAUAGGACAAACACUUUGCACCUAUUUUUUAUUUACUGUAUGGAUCUACAUAUGUGGAGCUGAACAAAAUUUGUUUUGUAAUUUUUAGAUUUUCUAUGAAUUACUACGCAUUUAUUAAUUUUUAGCUAAACUAAAGAAUAAAAGAAAAUAAAAUUAAUAGGAUAUAGGAGAUUUUGCAUUGGGAACCCUGAAAAAAAUUUAUUUUCUUUUCGCUCUUCUAGCUAGCAACUCUAAGAGCGAUAGAAAAUGUAAAAGGAGAUUUUGCAUUGGGAACCCUAGAAAAUAUUCUAUUUUCUUUUUCUCUCUUACAAGUGUUAAAGGAACGGAGAGACCGAUUCCGGACGAGACGGGGCAGAAGAAAUUUUUGAGGGACUGAAUUUUUCAUAAUUUAUUAGUAGAUAUAUAUAGGUAUAAAUAUAGAUGUAUAGAUAUAGAUAAUUUUUUUUUCUUUUGCAAUGACAUGCUCCAAAUGUGGACUAAUAAUGGGCCUCUAGCACUCAGCUCAUCUGGGCACUCAAAUGUUGGCCCAAAUACAGGCCCAUGCAAUACAUUCACACGCGCCAGCCCAUCUGCAUCGGCUCUGCCUUUUCUUUCUUGCGGACCAAUACGAGACACGGAGGCGAAGGGUGGUCGGAGUCGGGAAGGCGUCGGCGGCAGCUCUGCUCGGUCGCGGCGCUUGUGGGAGCAGAGAAGAGGCUAGGACUCCGAAGGCAGAAGAAUAUUUUGGUAGACAAAAUUUUUCACAAUUUAGUACUAGGUAUAGAUAUAGAUAUACACAUGCAAACAAAAGUGCUACAACCAAAACAAAAAAAAAGAACUAAAUAGCCCAUUCCUCCUAGGGACUCUUGCCCGGCGGGCGCACGCUCAGAAUGAUGUUGACACACACGCGCUGGGAGCCAACAGCAACGCGCGCAUGUUGUCAUCUGUGGAUCCUGAAGCAGUUUUCGUUCUUUCUUCUCGUGUCUAGUUGUAGCUCUACUUCCUUCCUUCCUUCUCAUGUCUGAUUUUAGCCUAGUUUUGUUUCUUCCUUCUCGUAUCUAGUCUCUACUUUAUACGAGUUGAAUUACAAAACUAUACGGAUAAUACGUGCUGAAUUGGCCCAAUUGCCAUUUUAUAUUUCUCCUACGUACCUAGAUUCACGGCCCAACAUUUGAAUUUUAUAAGCUUUUUAUUUCUCUUUCGAGAUAGCGGAAACGUGGGAGAUGAAACGGACGGGAGAAUGGUUUCACAUCUCUAUGGAUGCAAAACAAGUAUAUACAAAGUUAAUAUUAUCUCAUUUUAUGCUCCAUAAAAAUUUUUGCGAGCUUAUUCGAGUUCAAAUUCAGGAACUUUAUACUACCAUAUUUAAAAACUUUGUAUUUUUAAGAUUUAAAAUUUUGUAAUUUCAAACUUAAAUUUUAAAUUCAGGAAUUUUAUACUAGCACAUUUAAAACUUUCUACUUUAAAAUUUAAAACAUCGCAAUUUUAAAUUUUAUUUUUAAGGUUUAGGAACUUUAUACUAGCAUAUUUAAAACUUUGUAUUCAAGCUUCAAAAUUUAUAAUUUUAAACUUAAAUUUUAAAUUCAGGAAUUUUAUACUAGCAUAUUUAAAACUUUGUAAUUUUAAAUUUUAUUUUAAGAUUUAGGAACUUUAUACUAGCAUAUUUAAAACAUUGUAUUUCUAACUUAAAAACUUGUAAUUUCGAACUUUACACUUUAAAUUUAGGAAUUUUGUAUUGGCAUGUUUUAAGAUUCAAAACUUUCUAAUUUAAAAUUUUAUUUUAAAAUUUACGAACUUUAUACUAGCACAUUUAAAACUGUGUACUUCAAGCUUUGAAACCUUACAAUUUUAAGAUUUAAUUUUAAAUUGAAGAACUUAUACUAGCAUAUUUAAAACUUUCCACUUUAAGAUUUGAAAUUUUAUACUUUUAGUUUUUUUUUUAAAAAAAAUCAGGAACUUUAUACUAGCAUAUUUAAAAAUUUAUACUAGUACAUUUAAAACUUUAUACUAGCACAUUUAAAACCUUGUAUUUCAAACUUUGAAACUUGUAAAUUUAAAACCUUACACUUUAAAUUUAGAAACUUCAUACUACCACGUUUUUAUCUUUUACUUUAAGAUUCAAAACUUUGUAAUUUAACAUUUUAUUUUAAAAUUUAGGAACUUUAUACUAGCACAUUUAAAACUUUGUAUUUCAAGUUUUGAAAUCUUAUAGUUUCAAACUUUAUUUUUAAAAUUCAGGAACUUUAUACUAGAUAUUUAAAACUUUCUACUUUAAAAUUUAAAAAUUUAUACUAGCACAUUUAAAAUUUUGUAUUUAAAACUUUGAAAAUUGUAAUUUCAAAUUUCAAACUUUGUAAAUUUAGAAACUAUAUACUAGAACAUUUUAAACUUUUUACUUUACGAUUUAAAAAUUUGUAGUUUUAUAUUUUAUUUUUAAAAUUCACAAAAUUUAUACUAGCGUAUUUAAAAUUUUAUAUUUCAAGCUUUAAAAAUUUUGUAACACUCCAAGUUUUGAAACUUUGUACUAUAAUAUUAAAACUUUAUACUCCUAAGUUUAAAACUUUAUCAUAACGAAAAUUGUUUUGAAACAUAUCCAACAUUGAUAUACUUUUAUAGAUCUCAUCAUAACAAAUGUAAUGGUGCAAAAAUUAGAUACUUGACAAAAAAAUUAUCAUAUUUUAAAGUUUUGUGUACCAUAUGCAUAUUUCGUAUAAACGGGAUCAGACAUAGAUCAGAAAUGUGCAUGCGCCUCCCGCCCCUCCCAUGCGUCCACCCUCCAUGAUCAGUGACAGGGAAAGAAAGAAAACAAACCUAGAACGGAAAGUGGAUACCCAAAAUAGAAAGUGGAUAUGUACUACUUAUAGAUGUAAAAGAAAACAGAGCUAAAAUAGAAAGCGUGCAUGUGACUGGCGCACACAUGCUGAUUAAUGUUUGGGGCCCCUCCUCUCAGCCCUACCCCCUCGCACUCGCUGACACUCUACUCCAUGGCAAGUCUAUCCUCUUUCCCCUAUCUCUCCAUUGGUCCUCCUCUUUCCCCUAUAUACUACAAGAAACUUGUUAAUCCGUGCGAUUUUUUUAUAACAAAUUCACAUUUCGUCAUUGAUAGAUGCAAUCUGUGACGAUAAUUUUUAUUUCGUCAUGGAUAUUGCCCAAUGGAUAUUUUUAGCCCGCUAUCUCAGGACGAUUUUAUUAGAAUCGUCAUAGUGUAUGAUUUUAAAUUCGUCAUACUGUAGUUAGCCUAAAACAAUCGGACUGCUAUCAUAUGUUUGUGGCAAAGAAAAAAAUAAAAAUGUGUUUGCAAAAACAUUCAAACCCAAAUGAUGAUUUGUUAAAUUUUUUGAACUAGGUAAUUUUGUUACUUUGUUGCAUGUAUUUGGUGCAUAUGGUAAACCUAAAAAUAUGAUGCAUAUAUAGGAUGUGCGUAUGAUGUGAUUCUAACUCUAUUUUAUUUGUUUGCUGAUGUUUUGUGACCACAGCGGCGUGGCCCAUUCAAUCGUGCUCAGCAAGGCCAAAUGGGAGUCGAACCCAGCACAAACACAAAAAAAACAAACAUAUAUACCACCGCACCACCUGUUCACUCAUGGUUGAGUAGUAUUCUAUUUUACUUUUGUCCAUUACGGCAAGGGGCAAGGGCACAGGGCCCAGUGGCCCAGUAAGAUACCGUGAUGGCUUUUGUUCUGUUCCCAGUUCCUCACGAUGUGGACGGCGACUGUGUCAAGUCAGCUCGUGCUUCCCCUCACUAUUCCCCAAUCCAGCAAACCCUAAACUCGCCUCUCCGUUCUUGCUCGGCUCUAGCGAGCGGUGGUGCUCGACAUCGACGAGCGGCAGCAGCCGCCAGGGCGGGCGGACGGCAACCGGGGCGGGGCCUCCUGCUGGGCGGUCACAGGAGCGGCGGCAUGGCAGAUCUGCAGAGCAGCGCUACCGCGGCCGGGCAGCGGGGACUGCAACCUGCUAGGCCUGCCGAGGGACGCCAGGACAAUGCCGCCGACCCGCCGUGCAAGCAAGCAGUGGAGGUGAGGGACGACCACCGCAAGUAAGCAGCGGCCUGCGUGCAAGCAAGCAGCAGCUCUGUAGCUGAGCUGAGCAGCAGCGCAGCACCAGGCCACUUGGACGACCAAGAGCUCGAAGGUGAGGGAUUUCCCAAUUAGCUCCUCCACUUUUUUCUGAUCUUGUAGGUCAUCUAUUACUUUGCUAGAAGUUUAAUAAUUUUAAAGCAUAUUGGACAUUUUUGAUGGUAUGUAGGUAGUAACAGUAGCAUUUGUUUUUCAGCAGGCACACAAAAGGCAAGCCUGGAAAUCGGGAUUUCAGAAAAGUUUGCUGGUUUCUACUUCAACUGGUAUGUCUUGGUUUCUACUUCAACUAGUAUGUCUUGAUUUAUGAUAAGUCUGAUUGGGAUUAAGGUGAUAUUGCCUUGCUCUUUUGUUUUGUUAAUUUCAGUAGCAAUAGUGGCAUCGAUGGCAGGAUAAAAUUCCAUUCUCUUUGUUUGUCUACUAGUAAAAUCUAUCAAGUGUUAGCUUAAAAGUUGAAAUUUUAGAGCUACAGAUGAAUGACUGCUCCAUGUGUAUGUAUCUUGAUGGUUCCUGUUAGAAGAAAGGACAUGUAUUUCUUUGCUGUAAACUACAGCAGAAAUUUCUUGAACUGAAACUGACAGCCCAUCUACUACUUUGCUAGUAGUAGUUAAGAUUGAAAAGUCAUUUGCUUUGUGAGGGUGACAAAUAUGAAAUGAUUUUUCUGUCAGAUUGGUUUGAUACAUGCUAGUUUGCUGCUGCUGUUACUGUCUUCUAAAUCACCAAGCAGUAGUGUUAUAUUAUCUUGUCAUUGCAGUGAUAUUUGUUCUUGGAAUCACCAUUUGAUUGAACAUUUCUUUUUCAUGGUUUUCAGGAAAGGAAUUGGUGGAUAAACAAUAUGAAGAAGUGCUUGAUGAAAGAGCAUUAUUCGAGCAUCAUUCUACCGAGGCGGCUGCAUUGAUUAUUUGCUUAUUUGCGGCAUGGUGGAGAGACAAUAUUGGCUAUUUGAAUUAGUGUUUUUUUAAAUUGCCUCAUCAUCAAUGUGUAAACCUUGUGUAUAUAAACAUAUUUACCAAAAUAGUUGUAAAUCUAUAAUUUGAAAUGCAAUAAAGAAUUGUCAAAUAUUUCAUAUUUGUCAUUCAUAAAAGUUUGGGAUUUCCUACAACAAAUAUAGAUGGGCUAUCUAGUGAUAUAAGUAUCCAUGUCAUCAUCCACGUAAACAGUCUAGAUGAUGUGGCAAUUCAUUUGUGACGAUUUAGAACUGUCAAAGGUAAUGGGUUUGGGUUGGGCUAACUAGGUCUUGGGCUCAACUGUGACGGUUUGAGAUCGUCACAGAUUUUGUUAAUCUAUGACAUUUUUGUGAAAAUCGUCACGGAGGUUAAUCCAUGACGCUCAAUAGGUGACGUUCUUUGAAACCGUCACAAACGCUACAUAGUGACGAAUUUUUUGUGAUCUGUGACGGAAAUUUUUCAUCAUGGAUUAACAUAUUCCUUGUACCCCUUACAUCUGGCUAUGCGUGAGAGUAAUGGAGCCAUAAGCAUCACUAUUGCUCUUUAUCUCAUUCUCUACUGCUCUCUCACCACCACUAACCACGCAAUUGUCGUCCACUGCAUUGAGCCCCACCCUUUCACGGAGUCUUCCCUACCUUCAAGAACCCCUAGAGAUGAGUUCUCUAUUGCCUCCUGUCUUCCCGUGGUUUUUCCAAAGCCAACCGAGGCUUUUAUGCCAUUUUAAUCUCUGGAGAGCUCCCCACUACCCUUCGCGUCGCUCCUCACUGGAGUAACUGUUUGGGCCAGCAUAUGCCCCCAACUCCCUAUAGUCAUUGUAGACGGUAUUUAUGCCUUGUUUUUCACUAUCAUAACCGUCAACAUUUCACUCAUAUUGGGAAGAAUCCACUAGACAAGUAGUGACAUAGAUACAAAUAACAUGGUUCCACAUGUCAUUAUUUGGAUGAAGGUGGUCGAUUAGGUACUUUUUAGGGUCUUAGAGCUCAAAAUGAAAGAAGUAGCAAGACUACAAGUUUGCUACAUAAAUUUCAACAUCACAUAAGCAUAGAGCAAGAGAAAUGGAGCAAGGCUGACACCCUGGCCCCACAAUGAGGGGGUCGCCUGACCCCCACCCUAUGGGCCCAGUCAGUGUCAAGCUGGCACAAUCGAUGCUAACCUCCCUAAGCUAAGUCCCAACCCUUGGAUCACAAGUACAACUCAAACAAUAAUCAAGGAGCAAAGUACAAGGAUCAAUGGGCCCUUAACACAGUAACCAAAGCAAAUCAACAGAUGGCACUCUCGAUGACAAGCGGAGACAGCAGGAGAAGGAAGCUGGUGGGACCACCCUAACAUAAGGGGAUCAGCCGAUUAGAGCAUGUAUCUUAGGAAGAAAGACUACACUUGUAGCUUUAGUGUGAGAAUAGAGAGAAGAGAGUGAGGAGUUCCAAGGAGGAGUCCUGGCCUAUUAGGAGCUUCUCCAAGGUGCGCCUCAGCAGAUGCGAGUCUUCCUAUAAGUCUUACAUUUGAGUCUUUUAUAGCAUUUAAUAUUUUAAUCUAGUUCUUUGCGUAUAAAUCAUCUUACUGUGUGCACUGUUUUACUCUGGUAAAUUACUCGAAGCAUUAGCUACACUUAGAGUAAUAAGAUUAGUGUAGACGUGGUGUCUAGACUACAUAUUAUCAGUGUGGGCUGCUUGUCACACUACAAGACACCUACAGCGAGAGUGAUUGACCUCUCUAGGUGGAAAGUUCCUUGUUCGUGUGUUAGGCAAGUUAACUAUGGUGAAAGUCGGGAUGAGUAGGGUGCCGCCUCGGUAGGGGAGGUGGAAAACCUCUUUAACUCGAUCUACCAUUUUGGACACUGCCCCUAGUAAGGGAGGAGGUGGUAAACCUCACUUUAGGUAGAGUAUCAUCACCAAAUAUUAGUGCUAGUUAGACCUCUCUAUACCCAACAUUUACCCUUUGUUCACAUCCUAGCGAUCUUGAACCUAGUUAGUUCACUUCACGUUCCCUGUGGAAAUCACGAUACUUGGAAUACUCCGGGUGAACGAAGGCUACAUUGACUACCGUACACUUGCGAUAUAACCGUUUGCCACUUUUGGUGUCAACAGUCAUCCGAUCCCUACCCAGCCAUUACAAUUACAUAUCCAUUUAAUCUCAUUAAUCGGUCCACCGCGGAUCUGUGGAUAAGGUCCACCGCUCCGGUCCACCAUUGGGUUGCCGCCUCCACCCAAUCUCUGCAAGCGCCACCUCACCAAUGACCCAAUCACCACCGAUAGCCGCUAUCAUAUUUGUGAAAAUCCCCUCUUUUUCCCCUUUAUUAACCUGUCAUUCGUUCUCUUUAGAACACUGCUACAUGAUUGAUUUUGGGUGGUGUCACUUUUUUUUUUGCAGAGGCGGGCAUUCAGGAUGGCUUCCUCGGUUAUUCCAAGGCCGGCCGACCACUGAGCGGUCGCCUUGGUUAAUUUAACGGAGGCGGUCGCCGGUCGCCUUAUUGUGACCGCCUCGGUUAAUCACCCAUUAACCGAUGCGGUUAAUCACUUAUUAAGAAUUGUGUAGUAGUGGAAAGUAUUUCUAUUCUUGUUUAGGUCCCUUCCCUUUUUUGACUUUGAAGCCGUCCAUACCUCGGUGUAAAAUCAAUUUUGAUGUCUUUUAUUUUGAAAACAAGUACCAAUUAUUCACAAGAAUACCACCGGGCCCUAUUUAGGGCUUUAGGCUAUAAUAACUUCUCCGCUAUAGUUUCUUGACUCCAUGUUUUUUGCAUCAAUGUGUUCGUAACAAUGUGUAAAAUAUUUAUAAAACCUUUUCAUUCACCCUAUAUUUCAAGACUGAGAGAGUAGUACAUUUUUUUAAGGAAUGAGAGAGUAGUACAUGAUGGGAUGUCUCAAGAACAAUUUAUACAUACCCAAUUUAUUCGUCAACAAGAUUACAAUCCGAAUGCAUUAGUAUAUUAUAAAUUUCCGUCACAAAUACAAAACAAUACACAAGACUUCUGUUACGUUUAUAUGGCCCAGCGUACACGCUAUAUACGUACGCAAGACGUAUUACAUAUACGUUUUUUUUUAAGGAACUGGAGGGGCCUUGGCCCCUACAGGAAUGUAUUACAUAUACGUUGGCAAAGAUCAGAUGCUGGCUUAUUUCAUGGACGACCGGAAUUCCGGAUCAGAGCGCGCGCGUGUGGUGCCAUUUACGAGGCGAAGGAGGUGAAGCCGCCGGCGUCAGCGCCACCGCCGGCACGGCGGAACCGUGAGACGGCGCAGUCCGUGGCGAAGAGCCCCGAUGAGCGGUACUUGUCGGCGCCGCCCAUGACGGGCAUCUUGGCGCUGAUGUCGAGCUUGUUGACGUAGUCCGGGCGGUAGGUCUGUCCGAGCACGCCGUCGACGUCCUUGGUCAGGCCGCCGUGGAACUGGUAGGAGACGUCGAGGUGCACGAGCGAGUCCUUCCCCGUCUUGCCGUAGGCGUGGACGCGUGAGUCCUCGUCGGUGAUGGGCACGGCGUUGGCGGAGAUGGCGAACGCGCCGUCGAGCUCGACGACGACGGCGUUGGCGGCGGCGUCGGUGCGCGUGACGGUCAGCCCCGGCACGGCGCUCGACGCCCACCGCGCGCCCUUGGACGGCUCGACGUCGACGGGCUCGCCGUCCAGCGCCACCACCACGUGGUCCUCGUCCUCGUCCCACUCCGCGGCCCUGCGCGCGCCCACGUAGAGCCUGUGGCUGUGGGUGCCGUCGCCGGCGCCGAAGGUGACGCCGAGCGCCUGCACCCAGGUGAAGUCGCGGCCGGAGUCGGCGUUGUGGUUGCCCAUGAACCGCGCGUUGAUGUGGAGGCGGUCGUCGGAGACGAGGCAGAAGCUCUCGUCCUUCUUGCCGUGGAAGUAGAAGGUGUUGCCGUCGGCGCCCGUGAACCGCGGGUCGCCGCACGAGGUGCCCGGCAUCAGAUCACACACUGACGACAUCACCGGACAAGAUGAGAGUUAGUUCAUCAUGAAAUCUGCGACGACGCCAGAAAAUAGUGGAAUAUAUAUAUAUAUAUAUAUAUAUAUAUAUAUAUAUAUAUAUACACACGGUAGCGCUAUUCUACACCCUAGCAAGCCAAAUUUAAGCAGAAAAAAUACUGAGCAGUACUGAACAUCGUUCAGUAUCAUCCAACACUACACUCAGGACCACAAAAUACUGAAAAAUACUGAAACACGGGUACUGAACAAUACUGAAAUUUAUUAUGUAUAACACUUUGGUGUAGAAUAGUAUUCUACACCUAGGGUGUAGAAUAGCACUUAUAUAUAUAUAUAUAUAUAUAUAUAUAUAUAUAUAUAUAUAUAUAUAUAUAUAUAUAUAUAUAUAUAUAUAUAUAUAUAUAUAAUAUAAUAUAAAACACUUACUGCAGAAGGUGAGGCAGUAGGCGCAGUAGGCGAGGCACUUGUUGGGGCAGCGAGCAGGGCACUUGACGUAGCAGGAGGCGCCCCAGUCGGUGGUGCAGGUGAUCUCGUAGUUGCGCUUGUGGUGCCUGUUGGCGACGACGGUGGUGAACUUGCCAUUGCGAGGGGGCUUCUUGGGGUCCCCCGGCGUCGACGUCCUCUGGGGCUGCUUGCUGGGCUUCCGGGAGACAAACUGCGCCGACGCCGACGACGACAGCGCCAGCAACGCCACCAGCAGCAGAGCGGCAAUGGCUCCUCCACGGAUGGCCAUUGCUGCUAGCUGGACCUACUAGGACCGGUAGAGGUGAGUGAGUGUAGCCAAGCUGUAGACGACAGAGAUGAUGGCUGGCUGGAGAUGGGGAUGAAUUUGUGUUGUGUGCUCUCUGACGACCAUGGAGUCUUAUAUAUGAUCGAGGCGUGGCUUUUCGAGGGGCUGGAUGGAUUGGAUUGGAGGUGAAGUGGCUUGAGAGGCAAGUGGCGUAGUAGGCGGCAAAGUGAGAGUGCAGGCGUGCAUAUUCGUCGUCGUUCGCCCAGCGGCCGGAAUUAAGGGGUCGUCGUCUCACGGCGAUCGAGCUCAAGGUGGAAAUGAUGGCACGUAUGUCGUCGUCGUCGUAGCCGACUAGCUGUACGCGGCAGCCGGCAAAGCUACUGUGCAUGUUACUGGUAUGAUAUAUACCGUGCGCUACGCAACGUACGUGUAGUAUAUGCAGUCUCGGCUAGUCCAGCUUUUUCUUUCUCUGAGAUGACGAGGAUGGGAUGAGUUGACUUGCAUAAGUCAUAAAGGGCAUUUUAAUUUUUUUACUCUAAUAUUUCAUAGCGUUAUUUCUGAGACUAUCACAUUAACUAGCUUAUAAUAAAAUCUAGAUAAAACAACAAUUCUUAAUAUAUUGUUUCAUUUUGUUGUUUUAUAUAAACUGUCCAUAUAACAUUAACUACAUACAUGGCCACAUGGGUAAUUAGUGCCAUAUUUCUAGCUAAAAACAUCCGCAGGGUUAUCAGGGUCAGUUCACUACAUGAUAUAUUUUUUUUUUUUGAACUUUAGUCGUAGUGUUUUGCUAAAGGUUUUAUAAAUUUUAUCUGGAUUAACUGAGCCCAAUAAAUUAAACCCUCUAAAGUCUCCCUUUGGAAUAAUGUAGAUUGAGAAAACUGAGCCAAUCUAAGUUAGUUCUUGACUCCCUUCUUGAAAAUGUUGUCAUAUCAUAAAAAAUGCCUAUGUGAAACCAACUGCCCGUCUUUAGGAAUCAACAAUUUCUAAAGGCACCAAUCUCUAGUAAUCAUUUUACAUAAUUUGAUUUAGAACUUCGAAAGUUAACUACCACAUAUUACUACAUCACUACCGGGUCUAAACCCAGCAUCAAUCCGGGAGUGACAAGUGAUAAAAAGAAAAUGUGGUCCGUGAACUUAUACUAAGUAUUUGAUCUUAUAAACCAUUUCAACUUGUGAGGACUUAAAAUAGAAUUCCCAGGUCCUAAAUUUCAUAUGAAAAGUAGUAAACUAUAAAGAUGUAAAUCUCGUUAGGUACUGUAACUUUGAUUUAUCAUUUUCUCGAUCCAUCCGAUGUCAUUUUUUAGAAACUUCAAAAUAUUGAAUUUCAAACUAUGAAAACUUUAAAUAACAUUUUUGUGUGAUUUCAAAAUGUAGAGGUCAUAACAACAAAUUUGCAGAUUUUUUUGGUACUAUAACUUUAAUAUAAAGUUUGUCUUCAUAUGACUUUAUUUAUAAAAGUUAAAAACUUUACUAUGCUCCACCUAUUUUUACAGACUGGCUAAAUUGUUAACCGCCUCUAUAAAUCUCUCUGAGAUGGCAUGAAAAUAAGGCUGAACCACCUCUAAAAAUGCUAUUUUAAAGAUAGUUCAGCUUGCCAGCUAUCUCCAAAAAUCAAUCUAUAGAGACAGGUCAGGUAAGAAACUAUUUUUAGAGGUAGAUUCUAAUAAAGCUACCUCUACCACAAAAUAGAGAUGCCUCUAAAAAUGGUUUUUGUAGUAGUGUAUAUAAGUGUGAGCUUGUGCUGGUUUUUGUGUUGAAGUGUAUAUAAAAAAAACAAGUCAAAGAAAGAAUUGAGGAUUCUAUUUUUCUACAUACUUGGUAAGUCCAGGAAAGGUCAAUUUCUAGCAUUGUACCAAGUUAAAGUAUCUUAAUAAGUUUGACUAACUCUACGUAAAAACCACGUCAAUAUUUAUAAUAUCAAAUAAGUAUUGGUAGAUUAUCAUGAGAUAUAUAUUAUUAUAGUAUACUUAUUUAUCACCAUAAAUAUUAAUAUUUUUAUCCACAUAUUUGGUUAAACUUUAGAAAUUUUAACUAAUAAUAUUUCUAGAAUCACAUUCUUUGACCGAGAGGUAGUACAUAUCAAGCUUGUGUUUUUUUGUUGAAAGUCCAGCCAUCUGAAAUGAGAAAUUUGUGAUUCCGCCAAAUUCCUAGUCAAUAGAAGUCCUUUGCAUUUGAAGGAAAAACGAUGUAGAGUGUUGACCAAACUAAUGUUAGAAAAUUGAUUAUGCUAGGUUUUACUUUCAUUCUUGACUAGAAUGAGCUAGGGAGGAGGAGUUGACCUUCAUGUAUAUACUACUAUGGGAUUCGACUAAUCUACCGCAAAUCUUUGUUACCUAGCAUGUCCUAGUGAACUAAUUUCCUCUCUGUCCGAAGUCAUGCGUAUUUGUCUCGUACUAGCGCACACACACACAAACCAAGAACGGGGUACAUAUAAAAAUAAUAAAUUGGCUGUGCACUUUUUAAUUUUGAAACUUCUUAUAAUUGGGUUAGCCCGCGAAACCAUAUAUAUUUAAUUUUGUGGGGCGCAAAAUCCUAUAUAUGAGUUUGUAGGUUAGAGCAGGUAUAACAAUGGGCUUUUAUAGCCAAGCUAAUGCUGAUGUGGAGGAGAGAAGAGAGGAGAAAGAUGAUAGUUUGGCUCUCAGGCUAAGCUCAAUACAUGUUUCAUGAGAAUGUCAUAAAACUAUGCAUUGUGAGACUGGCCUCAUGUAAGCACCAAGCUGGGCACGGAUGCAUAGGUAAUGAUUGGUCCAAAUAGCAAGUGUUGUGACAAGGAAUAGGAAAGAGAAUAUAUUUUACAGAUAAGUAUGAGACAACUUAUUGUAUAACUUAUUGGCUCUAAUCACUUGGCUUAUAGCCAAGCACUUGGCUCUAUUAUUGACCUUGCUCUUAUAGCCCAUUUACAUCCAUUACUACUUACCUAUAAGCAACUAAAAGAUUGACUAGCAGACACCACAAGCAAAGUUACACCCGACGGCAAUACAUCGUCACUUAACAUUGGAAGAAUACCGUCAUUUCUUCGUAGAAGGGGGGCAAAAAAUCCACACACCACAUGCAUGCACCGAGUCGACGAGGAUUUGAACGUGUAAGCAACUGAGCUGUAUCCUCUGUAUGUUCACAAUGCAACCACACACAUCAACCUAUCAAAUAGGACAAAACAUAGUCAAUUGAGUGUGGUUAUAAGUUGGGCGUAUGCGUAUCUAUCCGUGUUCGAUCGAGUGACCCUUCAACUAAACACUUUCUUGUUUCAGAUGUAGCGCUGGUGUUCAUUUGAGUGACAUGCACUCAAAAUGCAAGUAAAGAACAUGUUGAGCCGUCUGGAGUCGUGCGCGUUUGCUAGUCAAACUAACCCAAAUUGGUGGCGCUCGCGUACAUGCAUGCGCCGGCCGGCUAUAGAUCAGCGCCAUGCACCACACCACCAGCUGAAGCCGGCUGGGCGUCGGCACAGCCGGGAGUAGCACGUUAUGUUACGCGCACUAACUUUUUCCUUUCUGAGACUCGUACUAACUGCCUAUAUUGUAUAUAUGCAUGUACACACAAAGAAAAGAAAUUAUUUCCUUGGCCCUAAAAAAUGCUGCUUAGGCUUUGUUUAGUUCGCGAUAAAUUUUGUGUUUCGCUACUGUAGCAUUUUCGGCUUUAUUUGGUAAUUAUUAUUCAAUUAUAGACUAACUAGGCUCAAAAGGUUCGUCUCGCAAAUUACAAAUAAACUGUGCAAUUAAUUAUCUUUUUUAUCUAUAUUUAAUGCUUCAUGCAUGUGCUGUAAAAUUCGAUGUGAUGGGGAAUCUUGAAAAUUUUUGAGAACUAAACAAGGCCUUAGUUUUGUAGCCUCUUUUUUUCCCCCGAAUUUGCUUAUUUCACCCUAAAACGAAUUUUCUUUGGUUUCUUGGCCCUUGCGUUGGGCUAACAGUGCCGAAAGCAACAGUUCAGCAACCUACAGUCAGGUCUUUCAUGGUAUCUACUAUCAAUAAUUUUUCCUAAAAUAAAUUAUAAUAUUUUUUCAAACAUGGAAUCAUUGUUUUUAUAUAUAUUUGUAUAUGACAACAUCACACUUGGACAAACCUUGCAACUUUUAUAUGUAUUUGCAUUUUCCCAAAAUAAUGUUGUCAUAUGCAAAUAUAUAUAAAAAAUAAUGAUGUCAUAUGCAAAAAUAAUGUUUUCAUAUGCCCUUCCGUUACAUUUGCAUUUCCCAAAAUAAUAUUGUCGUAUGAAAAUAUAUAAAGAACAAUAAUGAUUCCAUGCAUGAAAAAUAUUGUACCUUAUUUUGGUAAAAUUAUUGAUAGUAGGUAGCCUGAAAGACCUCAAUAGAACAACCAUAGGUCGUUGAACUAUUGGUUUCAUUCGGGCACAAGGGUAAAAAGGGCCAAGAAACCAAAGGAAAUCCAUUUUAGGGCCGAAUAAACAAGUUCGAGAGAAAAAGGGCGGGCCCUGUUUUGCUGGCUAGAAAAAAGUUGUUGUUGAUGCUGAUUUAUUAUGAGAGAAAGAUAUUGUUCUAUAGUUAAAAAGUAAUACCGAUAAGUUCAAACGAACAUAAAGUAAGCAACACUACUUUGUUUAGGGCCAAGAACAACUUUUUUAAAAAAAGGAAAGAGAAAAUAGAAGAAGGGCCGGUAGUAAACAUGGACCGAUCCGCUCCUUAUUGGGCCCUCCGCGUGUGGGUGGGGACAACCGAACGAGUUGAUUGUAUUGGUGAUGCAAAUGAUUCGGCCCAACACAUAAACGUGAAUUUCAAACGCAUGAUAGAGGAUCUGCUAAUAAUAAUAAGAGUGGCCCUUUAACUUGUCAGCCUGUGCCACUUUGGUCCAUGAACUUGCAAACUCGAAAAAGUGACCUCUGAACUUGUCCGCCUGUGCCACUUUGAUCCAUGAACAUGCAAACGCGAAAAAGUGCCCCCUGAACUUAUCGACCUGUGCCACCUUGGUCCAUGAACAUGCAAAAACGAAAAUAACACCAGUUGCAUGGUAUUGUUCUGCCACGUGGCCGCCUCUGGUAGGCCAUGCAUGGCACCGUUUAUGGUGUUGACAUCAGCGAUGAUGUCAGCACUUCUUUUUUAAUUUACGAAAUUGAUAUAUUUUUAUUCGUAGCCUCAAAUAUAUCAAAUAAUAUAUCAAUUCGUUGCAUUUAUUAAUUAAAAGAGAUAAUUUUAAAACAAGCAAAAAUUAUUCGUUUUCUAUGUUUCAUAUUUUUCCUAGGCAUAGUACAUCAUGAAGAGGCUUCACAAAACAUUUCAUGAAUUUAGCAUUUCACUAAUAAUUAGUUAUGAAAUAAACAAAUAUUUGUUGACGCGUUGAAAGAGCCUUUACACGCAUGGACCAAAGUGGCACAGGCCGACAAGUUCAGGGGUGAAAGGUCCUAAUAUGGCUAGAGGGGGGGUUGAAUAGCCUAUUUAAAAAAUCUACAAACUCACUAGAGCAAGGAGUUAGUAAAUAACAAAGCAAAGCUUUUUGCUCUAGCUCUAAAAGGGUGUUUGCAAGCCACCUACCCAACAAUUCUAGUUGCUAUGAUCACUAUGCACACAAGAACUAAGCUACACAAGGCAAAGUAAGCAACUAAACUAAUUACACUAGUUUGCGGUAAGUAAAGGAUAGGAUGAGAUAUUUAUACCACCGUGUAGGGGAUGAACCAAUCACCAAUAUAAACAAUCAAGCACCGGGAGAAUGCCAAUCAAACAUAAUUGAGACACCGAUUUUUCUCCCGAGGUUCACGUGCUUGCCGGCACGCUACGUCCCCGUUGUGUCGACCAACACUUGGUGGUUCGGUGGCUAAGAGGUGUAGCACGAACCUCGUCCUCACUAGGACACCACAAGAACCUACCCACAAGUGAGGUAACUCAAUGACACGAGCAAUCCACUAGAGUUACCUUUCGGCUCUCCGCCGGGGAAGGUACAAGACCCCUCACAAUCACCGGGAGAUGGCCACGAACAAUCACCAACUCGUGCCAAUGCUCCUCCGCUGCUCCAAGCCGUCUAGGUGGCGGCAACCACCAAGAGUAACAAGAAAACCGCAGCUAGAACGAUCCCCAAGUGCCACUAGAUGCAAUCACUCAAGCAAAUGCACUUGGAAUCACUCCCAAUCUCACAAAGAUGUUUAAUCUAUGAAGGAGAUGAGUGGGAGGUGUUUGCUUAGGCUCACAAGGAUGUCAAGUAUGCUAGAAUGCCAAGAGUGUGAGCCCCAAGCCAGCCAAACACGUAUUUAUAGCCCCUCAAACAAAUAGAGCCGUUGGCUCUUUCACUGGGCGAAAUACGGGGUCACCGGACGCUCUUAAAGGGGCACCGGACGCUCAACACCAGCGUCCGGUGCUCCAACGUCAGCCACGUGUCAUGCUCGUGUCAGAAUCUAACGGUCACCUGCAGUGCACCGGACGCUGAGCAAGUGAGCACCGGACGGUCCGGUGCACACCGGACUCAUGCGCAGAGAGCUCUGCAAACUUGCAUGUUCACCGGACGCGAGCCACCGGACGCACCCUCAGCGUCCGGUGCUCACCGGACCCAUGCGCAGAGAGGGUCGCAAAACGCCCGCACACCGGACGCUAACCACCGGACGCUCAAGCCAGCGUCCGGUGCCUGUCGUCCGGUGCCUAACCCUAACCGAGUCAGGCAGCCUGCACACCGGACGCUCAGACACAGCGUCCGGUGCCUCUGAGCCAGCGUCCGGUGAGUGUUUUCUCAGCGAGAAACACUCCCGCGACUUCUCCAAAUUUCCCACCGGCGCAAUAGAAAAUAUGCACUUCAUUUUCUCGAAAAGCGCCGAAUCCCGCCUCGCAAGCUCGGCGGGAGGGAGAGAGGAACCCAUCCCCUCUCUACUCUUGAAACUCCACCUCCUUAUCAAAGUGUGCCAACACCACAACGUGUGUACCAAACGAGCGUGCACGUGUGUUAGCAUUUUCACAAUCAUUUUCUUUGAAGGAGUUAAGUUAGCUCACUAGGUUCUAAAUGCAUGCACAUGAACAAAGACACCUAGUGGCAAUUGAUAACCGCUUAGCCAAAGAAUUCCCCUCUUUAUAGUACGGCUAUCUAUCCUAAAUGUGAUCACACCCUCUAUGGUGUCUUGAUCACCAAAACCAAAACCCUAAGCAAUACCUUUGCCUUGAUCUCCAAAGAGUUUUGUUUUUCUCUUUCUUCUUUUCCAAGUUGAGCACUUGAUCAUCUUGUGGUCAUCACCAUCAUCACCAUGAUCAUUACUUGCUCCAUCACUUGGCAUGUACCAACCUCAUUAAGUCUACACACACUUAGUAUAGAGGUUAGUACUAGGGUUUCAUCAAUUAUCCAAAACCAAACUAGGGCUUUCAAGGGGCCACUGUUUUGCGUUUGUAAGUUCAUAGACCAAAGUGGCACAGGCGGACAAGUUCAGGGGUCACUUUUUCGGGUUUGCAAGUUCAUGGACGAAAGUGGCACACGUUGACAAGUUAAAGGGCCGCCAGUGUAUUUUACUCUAAUAAUAAUAUCUACUAUAAUUCACCUAACAGAAUUAUGGUUGGUCCACCAAAAAAACUACUCACGUUGUGGGCCUCAAUCACUAUGUAUCUCUACUAUAAUUUAUCAGACAGAAUUAUGCUUGGUCACAAAAAACCACCCCCGUUGAGGGCUAUCAUUAUGUAUAUCCAGGAAACAUAUACAUAAUUUUGUCUCCAUCAAAAUCAAUAUCUCAAAACCAAUCAGAACCAAAUCCAAUGACUGUAGAGAAAAAUUUAAAGCCUGUAUCAAACUCCUCACCCCCUCCCGCGCUCCUUCCCCCUCAUGCGAUCGAUGCUAGUGCUCUACUCCCACGCCCGCAAAAAUCACGGACAAAGGGGCAGCGUCGACUAGCUCCGGAAGGAUCGGCGCACCCUCCCCCUCCCCCCACCCGGCCCCCGAUUGUGAGAUCCACAUCAACAGCGGUAGAUCACCGCCAGUGCCAUUCUGCAACUCGUGCUCGGUGCCGAGUGCAGGGCAGAUGCAGGGCCUCGCCCCGCUCACGCUCAACACCGGAACUAAAGAUGAAUUUUUACACGAAAUUCAAAACCCGAUAGGUAAUUACCUCAUUAGGGUAAGGGUAUGACAAUUUUUUUACCCAUAGGUAAGAUAAUAGGAAAAAAGCUUUACCCGGCGGGUAAAGCGGGUGGAGUAUGGGACUGCAUUGCCCAUACCCAUUAAGCCAUGUGUAAUUUUAACCCGAUUCAAUAAGUUAGAAUCAUGGGCCAAAAUCACCAUACACAACCCAAACCCAGUAAAAUCAUAUAUAAUGCUGUCAAACCCUACGCCCUCACCUUAAUACCUCACCCACUUUCCUCUAUCUCCUUGCGGCGGCCACACAGCACAGGAACUUGUGAAAGUUGCCACUUGUUAUCUAGUAAUGAUGGAUUUAUCUAUUAGAUUACUUGAUCAGGUGUUCAUGGAGCUUGUAUAUUUGAUAAUUUUAUUAAUGACUUGUGAUGCUUUGACUGAAAUUGGAAGCCUGAAAUAUUUAAAUAUGUAUUUAUUUUUUGCAAGUAUUCUUGGAAUCAUGGGUAAGGAUAACCCAUGAGUUACCCGUUACCCGCGUGGGUAAGGGUAUGGGAAAAAACUCUUACCAAUACAUGGGUAUGGGUAAAUUAGUGGGUAAAGUAUUUUCUCGUAGGUAAAGAUAUGGAUAGCAUAUACACAGCGGGUAAUUACCCAUUGCCAUCUUUAACCAGAACGGGCAGCACUGUGUGUGUGGUGGUGGUGGAGGGGUGGGGGGCUAAGAGCGUGGCGGUCAAUAGGUGAAGGCAACGCCAGGACACCAAUGGAGCGCCUCCGACUCAUAUCCAACCCCCACCGAUGCGAAGGCACAUGAGCUAAAGUUUCAGUCAUUUGUGAGAAGGCGAGCGAAGACUGACGGCGGCACGUGAGAUGAGAGCAUGUGUGGGUGUGCGGCCACACCUUGGGGCCACGCUCCUCUUGCGGCAGUCUGUCACUUACGCCUCUGGUGUCACUCUCCCAUGUAGACAACCGCCCCAUCUUUUCUCUAGCAGGGUAACAGCACCAGCUAUUGCUUUGCUUCUUCCCUGUCUAUUUGCAUCUGCGGUAAGGCUUCACAGAAGGCUGGAGAGUUUAUAUUUCAAGUCUCCGUCUCAUGUUAUCGAAAGUUUAUUUUCAAUUUAUAUUUCAAUUUCUUUGGGCUUUGCAGGAGGUUGACAAAGUGCAAGAAAAUUUGGAGAUGAUAAAGAUUCUGAGCACAAUUCUGAUAGCCUUGAUGGCCCUGACACUGCGUCCUUCACAACAUUCUUGAUCUCAUUUUGUCAUCAUCGAGCUCUGAUAAUGAUUCAAUGGAGAUCAUUCCUGAACAGAAUGGGGACAUGGGAUACCCUACGUUAACACCCAUGGGGAAGGGGAAGCAAGGGAAGAAUAGGUCUGAUAGGUAAGGGGAAGCACUCAUGUGGGAGCCUCCAGCACUGGGUCUGCCCUUUUUAAUUAAGGCGCCAAGGAUUGGUGUAAUUGCAGAGCCAAAAAUUGACAGGGAGGCAGCAACUCAUAUUGAACCAGAUGCACCUGUAAUGGAGAGGCAGAAACCAAAGGAAGUUGCUUACUUCAGUAGUUUGCCAACUAUGCCGGAACCAUCUGUUCUUUUGUCAGAACUGAUGCAAUCGAUUCUUUAUGCCUCUCUCCCGGUUCUUUGCCUAGGGAAGGAACUGGGUCUUGCGAGAUAGGUUUAAGAUAUCUCCUAUUCUGAUAUGUUCUAACUUUUGAUCAUGUGUCUCUACUAUUAUCUAAUUUUUAUGUUCAUAGUUGUGCAGUACAUGGAGGCAUGGCAUAUCUUUAUCUACUUUAUAAUUGUUCAGAAGGAGCAUGCUUUGCCCUGGUUUCUCACUCUUGGUAAUGUUACUAUUUCCUAAGUAGCUCAAAUGUUAUGUUUUUUUUUCACUAUUACUUCAGAGACGAUAGCCUAUCUCACUAUUUUUAUCCAUUUCAUGGAAAUCUUCACCAUCGUCUCUUGGCAAAUUUAGAAGCAAACAAAUGACAUAAUAUUUGAUAGAGGAAGGUCUUUUUAAAUUCUUGGAAGGUUCUCUUUCUUGAGGAGGCUAAACUUUAGGCACAUAAAUUUCUUGAUGAGGCCAAACGAGCCACUUUUCUUCUUUGUGUAGAGCUUCUUGUUUAGUUAUGUUUUGUUUUUCUUUUGGCCUUUUUAGGCCGGCCCCUGCCAAAUAUGUUUGUAUAGUUUUUUCUCUCUCUUUUAAUAAAAGCCUACAGUGGGGGCAUCCCCUGCUAUAUUUAAUGUUCAAAAAAAUAUUUUUGAUGUACUUUUUGGUUAAAUUUAGCUGUAUAAUACACAUUCUUUUAAUGGCGUAUUGGCUUAGAGCAAUUCCAACAACUUGGGUAUUCUUGUUGUGGAGGCUAUUUUGGAAUUUGCAUAACAAAAAGUAGACUCCAACAGAUGUGCUAUCUAGUUUUGUAAAAUAGAAAGUUGGCUAUUCCUUAAUUUUCGCUGGCCAUGUAUAGCCAACCACUGACACAAGCUAUAUGAUUUUGUAAAAUAGUAAGACUAUUGUGGAUCUAUUUUUUUUUUAAAAAAGUUUUCUACUUUACAAAAUAGCUAAACAAUAGAAUUUGGCUACUAAUUUUAGCCGGGCUCUUGGAGUUGCUCUUAUGUACCAAACAAAUCUUUCCUAUAAUUCACUUAAUAGAAUUAUAUACUUGGUCCACCCAAAAAAACCACCCCCGUUGAGAGUCUCAACCAUUAUGUACCUAGAAAAACACAUAUAGGAUUUUGUCUCUAUUAAAAUCAAGAGCUAUAUGAGCAAAACAUUAAAUAAUAUAUAAAAAAUAAUAAUUCCGGAGACCAAACAUGGUAGUUGUACCAAGGAUGUUGGUGAUAUCGGGCGUAGACAUUGCAAUGUCCCAGAGCGUGUUGUCGUAUGUGAGAAUACCGCCGCCGCGCAGAUCAGCCGCAACAUCCGCUCGUGAUAUCCUAAUAUUUGCCGCAACAGUCGUGGAUCAGCCGUCAACAGCCGCGGCCAUCCACAAGAAACGGAUCGCACGCUGGAUCGAUGCUCGGUUCGUCAGCUGGGACGUCGUCCCGAUGGCCGCUGGAUCGUGAGCCUCUGAUGCAUGCGUGCGACGCUAGGGCCGAGCCCUGGGAGGCUGGCGGUGGCGUAUGCUUCCGAUGUAUUUGCGUCAGUCAAAAAGAGAACCUGUGGGCCUCCAGCCCAAACGGUGCAGCGAGAAUUGACUCAUAUUCUUUUUAUCAUAUAUCUAAGGCCUUGUUUAUUUCCACUCAAAAAUCUAAAAUUUUUCAAGAUUCUCCAUCACAUUGAAUCUUUAGACGCAUACAUGAAGUACUAAAUAUAGAUAAAAAUAAAAACUAAUUGCACAGUUUGGUGGAAAUUUACGAGACGAAUCUUUUGAGUCUAUUUAGUCCAUGGUUAGACAAUAAUUAUCACAAACAAACGAAAAUGCUACAGUGUCACGAAAUUUUUUUCCUUCACCAACUAAACACGGCCUAAGCAAUCUAAAAUUAUAUAGCACACGUGAUUAUCAUCUUAUACUUGCGGUUGUUUCUAUAAAUUGUUUUAUGCCACCUAUAAAAAAAUUGUCUAUGAACUCAAAUAUCUCAAUAUCACUAUUCUUAUUUCAUAGCUACGUUCCAGGUAUAUCGUCCCAAUUAUUUAGGGAUCCCAUUCCUCGUCAUGAACCAAUCGUCCCAAAGAGGCAUACCCCUUACGAACCGGGAACUUAAAAUUAUCGAUCCACAUCCCACGUUCCUCGUACCUACAUACCGGAAACUUUUGUGAUUGUGCUUCUUUUAUUUUGGAUGUAGCUGUCUUGCAGUACAUGCUGUAUAAAAUUCCCAAAAUUCUUUGGAACUUCUUGCGCUGAUGUAAAAACAGCAAAAUACAAAUGUAUUUUAUAAUCUCCUUUACUCACAGCACAGCCAUUCUUGUUUCUGUGGCUAAAUAUAUUUUAGUAAUCUCCUCCCCUCAUCACUGAUAAUGUCUAAUUGUGUGAUGCACAUGCUAAGUGGCUAACAAUGUAGUUCAGGAAAACAUGCAAUAGGUUAUUAGAAGAAUGUUGAGAUGACCAUUCAUAUAUAUUCUAGAAAUGAGUAAAAUAGGAAACGUAUCUGGUGCAAACCAUAACUUCAUGAAAACCUAUGCAAACCAUGACAAAAGAGUUAUCUGAAUUCACCAAAAAAAUCACACAAGUAGAUGAUAUGAUGAUACACAACCUUGUAAAAUAUCUUAUCCAAACUCGAAUUCGUUUAUGAUAUAUAAAAAUAACAAAUUUCAAUAAUCUUUUCUUUUUGUGUUUGCUUUACUGACAUGUUCGUUCACAUUAACCUGCAAUGCAGUACAGGUUAUUACUAUAUGCAUGUUUUCAUUCUUUGAACUUGCACCAAAUUUUGUUAACCUAAAUCAGUUCAAGCUAUUAGAGUAUGGCUAUCCCGCUUACUUACUCGAUUCUCUUGCAAUUAGAGUAUGGUUAUCCCACUUACUUACUCAUCUCUUGCAAUUAGAGUAUGGAUUAACCAAACAUGUUUUUAGGAGAUGGUGGUCAUGAACUCAUGAUCACGUUAGGUGAAGGCUUGGCAAAUCUUCGACAGCCACGACAACCCCAAUGUCGAGGUGCAUUUUGCUGUCUUCCAAGGACUGUGAAUUUUUGAGUGCUCUGUGUUGCAUUGUUCCUCAGCCAGUGGUUGGCUUGCUUAGGUGUGUCGAGGGAUUUGAGUGGUGAGAUUAGUCGAUGUUCUGUUGCUCAAUGACACUGUGUCUUUGUUGGUUGUGGAUUUUGAUUCAAAAGAAGAGUUGUCCCAAAAAAUCAACAGAAGGGUUAAUCUUAAUAGCCCUUGUUACCAGAGUUUAUAUAUAGUGUUGCAGUCACUGAGACUAAAUUUGAUCAUUUGGUCAAUUUUGAUGCAUGGAUAGAGGCGUCUUUCUUCCUGUAUGUUGCUAAGUAUGAUUCCACAAUGCUUGUCAGUAUAGGAGUCAUUGAGACGCCUUUUCGUACGAGAAUAUCUUUCUAUUCAGAAUGCAGGAGUCGACGCCUUUUUAUAGAUAAAUUAUCAGUAUAGGUGCCUUGUGUCAGUUUUGCUUGUGCCAAAGUUUUUGUGGCUUCAGUUAGUUGUCAAACAACAUUUUAGAAAUUAACUGUUGUGACUUCAUGAUUGCUGCUCUAUUUUUGACUUACAUAUCAGGUUUCUUUUGCUCCUUUACUGAGCAGCACUAGGGCAACAGGUGGCUGUUGACACUUCUUAACGCAAUUCCUAAAAAUAGACUUUUAAACCUAUCCCUAGCAACAGCGUCAAAAUUACUUAAUAUCACUUAAGCUAGGUUGUCAUCCCUAACAUGAUGUAGAAGUGCUGGUAUUAAAUCUAUAUGCUUUUCUAGGAAUAAAUAAAUAAAGGAUCCGCAAGGGCACAAAUAAUACCGAUGUAGUAUUUUAACCAGGAGUAUUCCAGGUAUCAUUAUUUAUAUUUUUACCACUAGGAAGGGACUUGCAAUGGAUAAUGAGCAAUGAGCACCGCAUGUAAUCAUGGAGACCUUAACCAUGCCUUUAUCUAUCUCUCAUGCAGGGUAAGUGUCACAUAAGAUAAAUAUAUGAAUAUGAAUAAUAAGUGACAGAUGAUAAAUAAGAAUUCAUAGCCAUAAGAUAAACAUGAUAAUCAUCUCAAUUAGAUUACUCUAAGUCUAUAACACUAGCAUAGUAUUAGGACAAUCUACAAGAAUAAAUCCUAAGUAUUCUAACUAUAUUGUCAAAGCAUACUUUAAUUAGUGCAAGUACACUUAGCAUCGUCACUAGAAAAUGUUAUAUCUAUGCAUAGUGAUAUUAGCAAAAAAGAUCAGGAACAUAACAAUCACUUUCCUGUAAUAAUGGUGCUCUACAAUCCUUAUAAUCGGGAGAAGGAAUACAAAGGACUCAAUAGGACUGUCACUCCCGUGAUCUAUCUCAAGCUCCAGACUAUAAGGGGUAAUCGCAGAUAAAUACGGUCUAGGUACCUCGCCUACACAAUAUCUAUCACUUACCCAUCGGCCUAAUGAGUAAGCGCUAUAUGAUCCUAUGCAUAAACAUAAUUCUAAUCUAACUACGCUAAGCAUAUAAUCAAAGUAGUCUAAGAACAAUAUAAUUGAGAACAUAAGCAAAUAGAAUAAAGUCAAUUAUGAUAUAAUCAAAUAGAUCAAAGUCAUAUUCAUAGUAGCAAGAACUAAUAUAAAUAUAACAAAAAGAAUAAGAGUUUACCAAGAACUGAAGAUAGAUCCGGACCUCAAGAUUGACUUGACUCCAUCUAGAUCUAUUCCUAUGUAGCUAUGCUAAAGAACUAUAGAGAUCUAAUUAAGAUGGUGGCUAAGAACCUAUAGAGAUAGAUCCAAUCGAGGGAUCCCUCUCUGUCUAAUUCUUCUCAGAGAAUAAUGAACUCUUAUUAUUAUCUCUUCCUCCAGGGGGGUCAUGGUAUUAUUUAUAGCUCCCUAGGAAGCACCACAGCCUUUGGAUCAAACUGACUUAAACGUGCGUUUAAGAUUAAUCCUCAAAGUCGGUGGAUGCAGGAUCCACGAGGUGGAGCCUGAUUGGCUCUACCCACUGGGUGGCCACCCCUGACAAGGUGGGGCGCCCGCCCCUGCCCUAUGGCAUGUGGACCCCACCUUUCAAGUGGUGUCUUCCCAUGUCUUCUAGAGUAUUCCUGAGUUGACGUUUCACGUAUUCUCUCUAUGUAAAUCUAACAUGUGAACCUCCUUUUGUUCUUAUUUCGAUAACCCCCUGCAGAAAUAGACAAUCACCAAAACUUGUGAAAUUCUGUUAGUGAUAACCCCUAUAGCUAGAUAGUCUUCUGAUUUAUGUCCUUUCUCAUGCUAUGUUGACGGUUAAAAAGAGUACUUAUAUCGUUUGGUCAUUUUAUGUGCAUCCCUGAAAUGAAGUCGUGGCAUUAGCACGUGCACUCUACUAGUUUCUAUAAUAUACUAAAAAUGAUGCAAUGAAUUGGAAUCUCUCUAAGUUGUCUUGUUAUACUCAAUUUAUGUUACGAAAUACCACCGUAGUUCAAUUAUUUUUCAUUUGCAUCCCUCACCUUAGUUUAGUUUUUUCAUAUGCAUCCCUCAAAUGAAGCCGUGGCGUUAGCACGGAUAUUAUACUAGUAAUAAAAAAAAGCAUGAUAGAGGAGGAUAAGAGGAUCCCUGUCGCCAAACAACGGAAUCAGCACGCGCCUGGCGCCUUCCCUCGCAGAAGCCGCACCGUGUGCCCACAACGUUUGUCAUCAUUGGGGGAUGGAGGCUAAAAGGGGGCUAGUGAGGCAGACAUGGAAGAUACGAAACUGCACUACAAAAGGAGAGAGGGAGGUACAGAUCGGUUGAGGGGGGGAGGUAUAGGGAAAAUGGGUCAGGCAAAGGCUUGGAUCAAAUUAUGGGUCCAUUGUUCCUGAUCACUGCUAGCUAGCAAGUGUAAAAAUCUAACAGUGAUGCAACCAAUGCCGAUUUUUAACUUCGACUGAUAGUGACAAUGAGCUAUCACUCUUGGUGGAUUUAUAAAAUUCUUCAACUGAUAGUGACAAUAAGCUAUCACUUUGGUGGAUUUAUAGAAUUGAUAGUGAUGCUCAUUCCCCUUACAAAAGAUAGUGAUAACUUAUCACUGUCAAAUUUGAUGAAAGUAAUAAUACUAAGAGUGUUAUGCAUUUUUGAGUAGUGAAUGAUGAUGUAUUACUAUCGAUGUUUUGCAUAUGAAAUUUGGACUCUAGAUAAAUAUUUGUGAUUAGGAAUACUAAGACUGAUUAAUUAGGAUUAGCACCAUAUUUUGGGUCCAUUUGGUGGGGCUUCGGCUCUGGCUUCUCACGUGGAGCAGCUUCUAUGGUCGAGCUAAAUCCAUUUUGAAAAACAUUUGGCAAAAAUAGCUCUAGUGGUAGUUUUGUAAUAAUUUGUAUUAGGUUUGUAAAGGAGUCAAGAGAAACCACGUUUAUGUGGCUUUGACUCUAGACAUAAACGACUCUAGCCCCUUGGGCUCAUUGCAAGAAGCUGCUUUUAAUGGCCAAUAGCAAAGCUCCUUGUAAGGAGCCGUGAGAAACCGGAGUUGUAGCCAUGCUAAAUGGGACCUACUAAUUCUACCAUAUUGGACUAGUAUUAGUAACCAAUAAAUGCAUAUGAUAUUUAGACACUAGAUAAAUAUUUAUGGUUAGGAAUGGUAAGAUUGAUUGAUUAGAAUGAGGAUCAUAUUUGAUGCUGCCAUACUGAUAUAGGAGUACUAUUAUUAGCAACCAAUAAAUGCACUAGAGACAUGAUACUUGAGUUAGCAGCGAAUAAAUGCAAACCUAUAUCAGAUAAGUGUGUACCAAAUGUUUUGGUUUCAAUAUGGUAGAAAUUGACUGGCUAUGAUUAAUUUGCUUGUGGCUUCGGUCUAUAUAAGGAAGGACCCGCACCAUGAAAGAGCAUCAAGAAACCAUUAAUCUCUCACUGAAGAAGAGAUUAGCUAGAUUAUAUUCAUGGCGCUACUCAAGACAAGCUCCAAGAGUACUCUAGUUUUCACCAUCACAUGGCUCCUAAUUGCACUUGUUGCUACGACUGAAGAUGGUGACACUACUCUAGAUAAGCUCGGAGGACUCUGCGAGAAAGUAGCAAAAGGUCCAUGUACAGAAAAGGGGUGUGGCUCAAUGUGCGCCGUCAUAGGCUUUAAUGGUAUCGGGAACUGCAACGGUCCCUACUGCUGCUGCAACCCAAAAUCCUCCAGGCACAUCGGUGUCCCCUAGCUAGGAACUAGCUUUCAAUUCCUUUUCGAUCUAUCCAAUGUUUGUUAGAACAUUUUUCAUUAAUGAACAAAUAAUAUAUGGUGCGUACGUGAUUGCUACAUGCAUGUCAAGAUGCCAUAUGACCAUUUCCAAUAAUCUUAGAAUAGUCUUUGAUAAGAAAAAUACAACACAUUCUCAAUUUUUGGUAGGCUUGAGGUUCAUACACCUCUUGUUGUCUUUCCUACUCCAUGGCAAUAUAUUUAUGGUGUGUUUGGUUGUGGAGUUGCCUCAUGAUUCAUGUGGUGAUGCAUCAUGAGUUCAUCCCGUUUGGGUGGAAUUAACUCAUUUCUCAUGUAUAUACUAAUUAUUAGCUUAAGAAAGGGGAUGGUGAUGGAUCAACUCAUUUCAUUCCACAAACCAAAUACAAAAAGUAAGAAGUGAGAAAAAAUGGACCACCUCAUUCCUCAAACCAAACACACUAUAAACUAGCAAGUGGCCAAGUUUCCUUCCCUACCAUUUAAGUUGCGUACAAAAAUAUACAACUUUUCCACUAAAUACAUUUUUCACUAUUUCUUAUCCAAGAUCUAGAACACCCCCUAAUUGUACUAAAUAAGUCAAAAUAAGCCAAAAGCAAGAUCCAAGGUGCUCUAAAAAUUGUACUAAAUAAAAGUAGGUACUUCUAAAAAAUAGCUUAUGAAUUCACCCAUUUGGUUGGCUCUCUACUCUUUAGCAGAAGAAGCACUUUCUAGGAAUUGGACUGAAUGCAGCCUGAGUCAUCCUCCUCAUCACAUUGUUUUGUCCUAUUGGCCACAUUACUGCUAUUGUCGACUUUGCUCUCAUUCUCGGCAACACGGCACACACUGCCUAUACUCCUCCUCAUUGACAUGCCAUAGCCACUGCCAUCGUCUUGAUGGAUGCUAUGUGAGGCAGACAAACAAGUCAUGUGUUUGGUCUUGUGUGAUUCUUGGAGAUUGAUAGAUCAAAGGGGGUGAGGCCAUGGGGCACAAAGAGGGUGGAACAACAAUGUGUGCAGAGGCACCAAAGAGUCCACUUAUUGGUGACAAAAAACACUCUAGGCAGGGCAAUCUAGUAAUGCAGAAAUGCUAAACCUUUGUUCUUUUUAGGCCAGUCUCAAUGAGGAGUUUCAUAUUCUAGUUUCCAGCACAUCUGAUUUUGGAAACAGUGCAGAAGAGUUUCAUACGGAUGAAACUCUCUCUGCUCCCAUAAAACUCUUACCACCUCUCACUUCAUUAAUACAGUGCCACAUCAGCAUAUUUAAUACCCAUGAAACUCUGAUGAAAAUCACAUUUAGACUAGCCUUAGGAGUAGAUUUAUAGAACAUGAACAAACUAUUUCUAUAGUAGUGUUCCAAGUUGGCCAUUGACCUUCAUUAAGUAACAUGUAAUCACUAUAACAAAACCACAAAACACUGUCAGUCUCAAGUUCGCCAUCACUGUCAGUUAUGCCAACUAGACAAGCAGCAAUUGUAGCAUUGACUAUCUUUGCUGGUUGAACUGUAAGCUACAAUCCAGUAGUAUUACCUAUUUCACAAAAUAAAAAAAUAUAAAUAGCCCACCUGCACACUGUGCCCACCACAACCAUGCACUACCAAGUCUGCCACCUGUCGCACUUGUCGUUGAUGGCUACUAGGUCAUAGACUGCCAUGCUCGUUGUCAUUGGGUGUUAUGCCGCACACCCCGCCUUGUUUCUAUUGCAACCACAGCCACCUCCAUUGUGCCAUAGUGCCGCCCAUGCAUUGAAGCCACAGAGCAGUCUGUCGCCCAUAGCCACACCAUGCGCCAAGCAUUGCCAUUGCCUCCCAUGCAAUUCCAACCGCCACCCGCCCCGCUCCCACAGCAGCCAUGCCAUGUGCCCACAACAUUUGUCAUCAUCAGAGAGGGUACAAGGGGGGCUAGUGAGGCAGAUAGGGAAGAUAGGAUGCUGCACGACAAAGGGGAGAGGGAGUGCAGAUCAGUUGAGGGGGAGGGGGAGAGAGGUAUGGGGAAAACAGGUCAGGCAAAGGCUUGGAUCAAAUUCUGGGUCUAUUGUCCUGAUCACUCGGCUAGCAAAUUUGAAAAUCCAACAAUGAUACUACUAGUGUUGGUUUUUAACUACAACAACUGAUAGUUAUAUUUUUUUCUUGAAUACAUAGGAGAUUUGCAUAUCAUUGCAUUGUAGAGAGAAAAGGAUCGACCCCUUACAAACACCACCACCUCACUCUGGACCAGGCUAUGAGUCAUUAUUUCCUUACAUCAAAAAACUUAAACUAAAAGAACUAAGAAAGGGGUGAUCCCUUACAACAAAAACACCAUCCAGCUAAACUAAGGUAGGGUAUCCAAGCCCAACACCAUGACCUAGACCAAGCAUGCACAAGCCGCGCGCACCCACCAAACACCAAAGGUGAUGCUCGCCUCUGAACUCUUUGAGAAGCCUAGUAAUCGAGGGGUGAGACCCUUAAAGAAACAAGCAUUAUGGUGCUUCCAAAGGAUCUAGGAACUUAGAAUGAUAAUUAUGUUCAACCCCUUCUUCUCCUUUGGAAUUCUCUUGGUUACUUUUCACCACCAAUCAGCCUGUGAUUUUUCUUGCCUUAUGGGAGUCUGAUCUUGUAGUCCUAAAGGAGUCAAGAUCCGUGACCAAAAUUCUCAAGCGAGGACACAUGUAGUAGUAAGUAGAUGCUGGACUGUCUCAUCUUCCUAAGCACACAAGGGGUAGUGGCUCGGAUGAGGUAAACCUCUCUUGGAUAAUCGGUCUGCCGUCCAGCACCUAUUUUGGAUUGCUAACCAUAAAAAUAAUUUGCACUUUACUGGUGCCCAGGAUUUCCAUAGACAUCGCCAAGGCACAAACUUGAUGGAGCCAUUGAAGAAUGCUCAAUAUAUGCAGAUUUUGAGCUAAGCUGGCCUGACCCUUCCAGUCUCGAAAUAUUGACAUUGUCAUCCUGAGAGAGGGUUGUCUCAUGCAGAAUCUCCCAUAAUUGAAAAUAUUCAAAGAGACCCACCAAUGAGUGACCCCACGUCAGUAGGCCAAGUAUGAUUCUAGAGGGUGUCAGCCAUCGUGCGUUGUUUGCAAGUAUGAGAUGGAACUGCAGCAACUACCGCUGGUGCCAAGUCCAUCAAACAACAACCCAUGAGCCACUUAUCCUUCCAAAAUAAAGUAUUUCUUCCAUUACUAACCUUAAAUUCCAAUGCAAUUUUGAAAAGAGCUACAACAUUUGGACAAAUAUGUAUGACAUUAAGGCCAGUCCAUGCUCGAUUGCGAUCUGUUUUCUUGAACCAUAGCCAACAGAUUUGAAGUGCCCAACUCAUGAACUCAAGGUUCAAUAUCCCAAGUCCGCCCAAAUCAAGGGGUCACUAGACCUUACCCCAAGCAACCACGCAAGCACCACCAUACACUUGGCCUCUCCCUUUCCACACAAAGGCUCUUCUUAUCUUAUCAAUGGUCAUAAAAAACAUUUGGGCACCUUAAUCGCUAUCAAGACAUAGAUAGGAAUAACUGAAAGGACGAAGCAGACCCAAGUAACUCUCCCAGCCAUGUUCAUGA
RNAcentral lists this long non-coding RNA (41806 nucleotides) under Sorghum bicolor (sorghum). Its description in RNAcentral is "long non-coding RNA (SBIC_LNC007875)". The record is from RNAcentral. Lineage: Eukaryota; Viridiplantae; Streptophyta; Magnoliopsida; Poales; Poaceae.